This 395-nucleotide ribosomal RNA is filed under the name uncultured bacterium. RNAcentral describes it as "bacterial SSU rRNA". It matches the Rfam family "Bacterial small subunit ribosomal RNA", at positions 505 to 898 of the family's 1533-position model. The record is from RNAcentral.
GUGUCAGCAGCCGCGGUAAUACGAAGGGGGCUAGCGUUGCUCGGAAUCACUUGGCUUAAAGCGUGCGUAGGCGGCUCAGAAAGUUGGGUGUGAAAUCCCUCGGCUCAACCGAGGAAUUGCGCUCAAAACUACUGAGCUCGAGGGAGUUAGAGGUGAGCGGAACUAAUGGUGGAGCGGUGAAAUGCGUUGAUAUCAUUAGGAACACCGGUGGCGAAAGCGGCUCACUGGGACUCUUCUGACGCUGAGGCACGAAAGCUAGGGUAGCGAACGGGAUUAGAUACCCCGGUAGUCCUAGCUGUAAACGAUGAGCACUGGGUCGGAGAACCCUCCACAGUUUUCCGGCCGUAGCGAAAGUGUUAAGUGCUCCGCCUGGGGAGUAUGGUCGCAAGGCUGAA